Physeter macrocephalus (sperm whale) is the source of this 3985-nucleotide RNA transcript. It is a transcript of the gene named BTB domain containing 9, with no coding region annotated. Lineage: Eukaryota; Metazoa; Chordata; Mammalia; Artiodactyla; Physeteridae. The transcript is spliced from 12 exons. The record is from RefSeq and is a predicted model, not a curated record.
CGGCGGCGACGGCAGGGGCCGAGGGGGCGGUCGCUACGAGGCGGGUGCGGAGCGGGCGGAAGAAGCGUCUGUGCGGGCGGUGAGGUCGCAGAGGAACAUCGUGGGGAUCAACGACUAUCAUCUGUUCUACAAGAUGAGUAACAGCCACCCUCUUCGCCCCUUUACUGCAGUGGGAGAAAUUGAUCAUGUGCACAUUUUGUCUGAACAUAUUGGUGCCUUGUUGAUUGGGGAAGAAUAUGGCGACGUCACAUUUGUUGUGGAAAAGAAACGUUUUCCUGCCCACAGGGUAAUUUUAGCAGCAAGGUGCCAAUAUUUUCGAGCAUUACUCUAUGGUGGAAUGCGAGAAUCUCAGCCUGAAGCCGAAAUCCCUCUCCAAGACACCACUGCAGAAGCAUUCACAAUGCUACUUAAAUACAUCUACACUGGGCGGGCGACACUGACAGAUGAGAAGGAGGAGGUACUGCUGGACUUUUUGAGCCUGGCUCAUAAAUAUGGAUUUCCAGAGCUGGAGGAUUCUACCUCUGAGUACCUCUGCACCAUACUUAACAUUCAGAAUGUCUGUAUGACUUUUGAUGUUGCCAGUCUCUACUCCCUUCCCAAGUUAACUUCCAUGUGCUGCAUGUUUAUGGACAGAAAUGCUCAGGAGGUGCUCUCAAGCGAAGGCUUCCUCUCCCUUUCCAAGACAGCACUUUUAAACAUCGUAUUAAGAGAUUCAUUUGCAGCUCCUGAAAAAGAUAUCUUCUUAGCCUUGUUAAACUGGUGUAAGCAUAAUUCAAAGGAGAAUCAUGCUGAAAUCAUGCAGGCUGUCCGUUUGCCUCUGAUGAGCCUCACUGAACUUCUGAAUGUCGUGAGGCCUUCGGGACUAUUGUCUCCUGAUGCCAUUCUGGAUGCUAUUAAAGUUCGAUCGGAGAGCCGGGACAUGGACCUUAAUUAUAGAGGCAUGCUCAUACCAGAAGAAAACAUUGCAACUAUGAAAUAUGGAGCCCAGGUGGUAAAAGGGGAGCUGAAGUCUGCCUUAUUAGAUGGUGACACUCAAAAUUAUGAUUUGGAUCAUGGAUUUUCUAGGCACCCAAUUGAUGAUGACUGCCGUUCUGGCAUCGAGAUUAAGCUAGGUCAGCCGUCCAUUAUCAAUCAUAUACGGAUACUCCUGUGGGACCGAGAUAGCCGGUCUUAUUCAUACUUCAUUGAAGUCUCAAUGGAUGAACUUGAUUGGAUCAGAGUGAUUGAUCAUUCGCAAUAUCUCUGUCGUUCUUGGCAAAAGUUGUAUUUUCCAGCCCGUGUCUGCAGGUAUAUUCGAAUAGUUGGGACUCACAAUACAGUGAAUAAGAUUUUUCACAUUGUGGCUUUUGAAUGUAUGUUUACAAACAAAACCUUCACUCUGGAGAAGGGGCUAUUAGUUCCCAUGGAGAAUGUUGCAACAAUUGCUGAUUGUGCCAGUGUGAUUGAAGGAGUCAGUCGGAGCCGAAAUGCCUUGCUGAAUGGGGACACUAAGAACUAUGAUUGGGAUUCUGGCUAUACAUGUCAUCAGCUAGGAAGUGGUGCAAUUGUGGUUCAACUGGCCCAGCCAUACAUGAUCGGGUCAAUACGGUUAUUGCUGUGGGACUGUGACGAUCGGAGCUAUAGCUACUACGUCGAGGUUUCCACCAACCAGCAGCAGUGGACCAUGGUAGCCGACAGAACUAAAGUCACCUGCAAGUCCUGGCAGUCAGUCACUUUUGAAAGACGGCCGGCCUCCUUCAUUCGAAUUGUUGGAACACACAACACAGCAAAUGAGGUGGGCGUAGAGUAGGCGCUGGUGCUGGUGGGCUGGAGUCCGGCAGGUGACCGUGCUGUGGGCUCCAUGUGCUCAUCAAGCUCGUGCUGUUACAGUCCGACGUACUUAGUGUGCACCCCUGAAGACCUGACCGCUGGUUAAAGACUGCAGUCAUAAGGAACAGUAAGGUUGAAACUCAAGGAACAAAAAUAAAACAUCUCUACAAUCUAAAGAUGGACUCGUAACUUGUUCCUGAGAUGAGUGUAAGAAGAUGUAAUUGUCAUUGUCAUCAGGCUCAGUUAAUGUUUGCUGAGUGCUGAGUGUGUGUGUCAUGCUGCCACACCACACAUUGCGAAAGGAGAGAGGAAGUCUUCAGAGUGUAUAAUUCAGAAGCCACGUCUCUGUGUCUGAUUUCUGGGCAGAUAUCAUUGAGAGGUAGGUAUCUAUUUUAUAAAGAUGUAAAUGUAAGUUGAAAGCUUGGCUCAAAUCCUAUUUGUAUUGCUUGGCAUGAAAGCAAUCUGUGAAAAUUACUCAGGAGAAACCAGAAAGACAAGGUAGAGUCAUUGAUCAACAUUUAUUAAAUUUUCCUGAUUUCUGCUACAGUUCACGGUGGACUCUUAGCCCAACUUGGGAAAAUUAGCAGAGGCUUCUCUGCUUUUAAAAACCUUGAAGACACAUUGAACAAAGAGUGCUCAGGGAAUCCCUCUAAUGAAAGGCGGCAAACAGUGGCUAGCCGAGGAAUUCGCCUGUUUGCCAAGAAGGGGCCAGCACAUUUGAGUACAUCCUUUCCAGGGUUCACCCCAGACUGUCUCAAACAUGUCAAGAAUUAUGGCUCCCAGAGAGGAAAGGCAAAGUGAUAAUAAACAGCAGCUACAAAAAAGAACACAUGGAUGUGACUCAGGCUGCGUCGGAUUCAUACACACGACUACAUUCCAAUUUAACUGGCUCCUCUCCGAAGACAGAUCCAGAGGCCACUGAAGCUGGUUCAGCGAAGGCGCCCCUUCGUGAGCAGCAGCAAUCAAACGGAUAAUGGGGUGCGUGAUCGCCGAGAAGGGAAGGGAAAAUGAUGCGGCGACUGGGGUAAUGGUUUUGCAUGAAUCAGUAGUGUGACUCUGCCCUGUGUGCCUCAUGCACUUUUGGUCACAUCCUUUCCAAGGGGUAUCGCAGUCUUGGGACGGUUCGGAGGAAAGAUACUGAAUCACACAAGCUUCUGAGCGAAGAGAAACUCAGGGCCUGGCCGUUCCACCGAGAGGGAGGCCUGAGGUGUUCGGUGGGGAGAGGAGCUUAGGGGUGCGAGGGACAAGCCGCAGUUUCCACAUGGCACCCGGUACCGCCCCUCGUGGCAGCAGCGACCUCCAGUGUCUGUGUGAAAAGAGCAGAGGCAUCCCGGCCUCUCUUCCCUUUGCACCUCUGCAGGGGCGGCAGGCAUCUCGGGCCGGCCCCGACCACUUGGCCACCAGAGAAGGUGCCAGUUUCUCCAGGGCAGUCUCACUUUCCACCCCUGCUCCCAUGAACAGAGUCAGGACCGCCCACAGGCCCCCUCUCUGGAUGCCCGUUUGCAACGGGUGCACAUCCGAAGGGGCCUAGGGUCCUAAGGGAAGAACCCCAGCCUGGCACAAGAUGAUGUUGGUGAGGUACAGACACCAUGAUGUUCAUCCUCAUCUGCAGUGGUCCAGGACCUGGCUGGGUGCUGGCUUCGCACUGUUGUCAUGUUAGGUUCAAGGCCAGUGGGUUGGAUUAUCGACUGAGACAGCUGAGCUGGCAAGUUGUUGUACAGAAGGCGAGAGCGAGGCCCCAAGCCUUUAACUGGAAGUCCUCCCUGUCCCUUCUGCCUGGAAGGCCACUCCUGCCCUGUCGUCAAGGCCUAGUUUAUGCACACCUUCCUCCUUGAUCUUCCCUUCCAGGUGAAAUUAAUUUCUCACACUGCCGUAUACCUUCUCGCUUGCUAUUAUGUUGUCUGUGUGAGGAGACAUCCUGAUAUGGAGAGAGCACAGAUUCUGGAGCUGCUCCACCCUGAGGUCGAAUCCCACUCACCACUCUUGGGCUGAGUUCCAUCUGGUAGAGGUCCUGACAGCAGGGACUGUGUGAUCUAGCCUCAGGCCAGUGUUUAUGCUCAGUGAGGUCGCUGAAGUUUGAAAAACAUAAGCAGUGAAAGGAAGGCUCUGAGGAUGAGUCCAGGUCCCCGGUGCUUGGCUGGGCCUGGAGCCCCCUCGGACCCCCUGCUGUGCCCGC